GCCCAAUUAGCUCAGUCGGUAAAGUAUGAGAUUCUUAAUCUCAGGUUCGUGGGUUCGAGCCUCACGCCAGGCG
Non-coding RNA from Zootermopsis nevadensis, 73 nucleotides. The record is from Rfam. NCBI's taxonomy places the organism in Eukaryota, Metazoa, Arthropoda, Insecta, Blattodea, Termopsidae.